UAGGGAAUCUUCCGCAAUGGGCGAAAGCCUGACGGAGCAACGCCGCGUGAGUGAUGAAGGUCUUCGGAUCGUAAAACUCUGUUAUUAGGGAAGAACAAAUGUGUAAGUAACUAUGCACGUCUUGACGGUACCUAAUCAGAAAGCCACGGCUAACUACGUGCCAGCAGCCGCGGUAAUACGUAGGUGGCAAGCGUUAUCCGGAAUUAUUGGGCGUAAAGCGCGCGUAGGCGGUUUUUUAAGUCAGGGGUGAAAUCCCGGGGCUCAACCCCGGAACUGCCUUUGAUACUGGAAGUCUUGAGUAUGGUAGAGGUGAGUGGAAUUCCGAGUGUAGAGGUGAAAUUCGUAGAUAUUCGGAGGAACACCAGUGGCGAAGGCGGCUCACUGGACCAUUACUGACGCUGAGGUGCGAAAGCGUGGGGAGCAAACAGG
This 429-nucleotide ribosomal RNA is filed under the name Actinomycetes bacterium. Its description in RNAcentral is "Actinobacteria bacterium partial 16S ribosomal RNA". It matches the Rfam family "Bacterial small subunit ribosomal RNA", at positions 355 to 776 of the family's 1533-position model. Lineage: Bacteria; Bacillati; Actinomycetota; Actinomycetes. The record is from RNAcentral.